CUGCUGCCUCCCGUAGGAGUCUGGGCCGUGUCUCAGUCCCAAUGUGGCCGUCCACCCUCUCAGGCCGGCUACUGAUCGUCGCCUUGGUGUGCUUUUACCACUCCAACUAGCUAAUCAGACGCGGGUCCAUCUCAUACCAGAUUUCUCCUUUUCACACUAAAACAUGCGUUUCCGUGCGCUUAUGCGGUUUUACCACCAGUUUCCCGAUGCUAUCCCCCUGUAUGAGGCAGGUUGCCCACGCGUUACUCACCCGUCCG
Molecule: ribosomal RNA, 257 nt
Filed under: uncultured bacterium
Lineage: Bacteria
Description: partial 16S ribosomal RNA
Source: RNAcentral